Molecule: ribosomal RNA, 484 nt
Filed under: uncultured bacterium
Lineage: Bacteria
Description: partial 16S ribosomal RNA
Rfam family: Bacterial small subunit ribosomal RNA
Source: RNAcentral
AUUGAACGCUGGCGGCAUGCCUAACACAUGCAAGUCGAGCGGAUGAAGGCAGCUUGCUCCUGGCUUCAGCGGCGGACGGGUGAGUAAUACCUAGGAGUCUCCCUUGUUGUGGGGGAUAACGUCCGGAAAGGGGCGCUAAUACCACACACGCCCUGGAGGAGAACGGGGGGGAGCUUCGGACCUCACGCUUUCAGCUGAGCCUAUGUCGGAUUAGCUAGUUGGUGGGGUAAAGGCCUACCAAGACGACGAUCCGUAGCUGGUCUGAGAGGAUGAUCAGACACACUGGAACUGAGACACGGUCCAGACUCCUACGGGAGGCAGCAGUGGGGAAUAUUGGACAAUGGGCGAAAGCCUGAUCCAGCAAUGCCGCGUGUGUGAAGAAGGUCUUCGGAUUGUAAAGCACUUUUAGUUGGGAGGAAGCGGAGUAAGUUAAUACCUGGCUGUUUUGACGGUACCGAAAGAAUAAGCACCGGCUAACUACGUG